This is a long non-coding RNA of Vicia villosa (hairy vetch), 524 nucleotides long. RefSeq lists it as uncharacterized. The record is from RefSeq and is a predicted model, not a curated record. The transcript is spliced from 4 exons. NCBI's taxonomy places the organism in Eukaryota, Viridiplantae, Streptophyta, Magnoliopsida, Fabales, Fabaceae.
UACUACUUUGUUCAUUUUGUUAUCUUUCGCUACCUAUUUAUCCUUCAUAUGGUUCAUAAUACUUCAAAUGCAAUAAAAUGUUAACUUUUUCACCUUCCCAAUGCAAUUUCUUGGAACAGAUUUCUGAAAAAGCAAUUGUCUAACAUGUCUAAUCAUAAUGCAGCAUAGCUCCCAAUGUUCCAUAAUGAAUGUUGCCUCUUACUUCUAACCUCUCUCAUUUCUCUCAUCUUUUUCCAUCAAAUUGUUAUAGAUCUAUAUACCAAGACGCAAACUGACUUUAAACCAUAUAAAAAGUGUUGUAGAUUUACAUAUAAGAUGGAAAAAGUUAUAUAACAUUGAUAAAAGAAAAGAAUUGAGGUUGAAUGAAUAAACUUUUGUUUGAAUAAUGGAUGAGGGUAGUGAAGAAAUCUGAGUUUUCGUUUGAAUGGUGGAUCUUGAAAAAGAAUGAUGAUGGAAGUUUUGCAUUUGAAGGGACAAAUCAAAUUUCUUUACUUUUCAAAGAGUUAGGUUGAACGGCUGAUGAA